GGACCCGCACAAGUAGUGGAGCAUGUGGUUUAAUUCGAAGAUACGCGCAGAACCUUACCAACACUUGACAUGUUCGUCGCGACUUUAAGAGAUUAAAGUUUUCGGUUCGGCCGGACGAAACACAGGUGCUGCAUGGCUGUCGUCAGCUCGUGUCGUGAGAUGUUGGGUUAAGUCCCGCAACGAGCGCAACCCUCACUUUUAGUUGCCAUCAUUAAGUUGGGCACUCUGAAAGAACUGCCAGUGAUAAGCUGGAGGAAGGUGGGGAUGACGUCAAGUCCUCAUGGCCCUUACGUGUUGGGCUACACACGUGCUACAAUGGUAUCUACAACAGGAAGCAAGACUGCGAAGUUAAGCAAAUCCUUAAAAGAUACCUCAGUUCGGAUUGCACUCUGCAACUCGAGUGCAUGAAGCUGGAAUUACUAGUAAUCGUGGAUC
Molecule: ribosomal RNA, 435 nt
Filed under: uncultured bacterium
Lineage: Bacteria
Description: bacterial SSU rRNA
Rfam family: Bacterial small subunit ribosomal RNA
Source: RNAcentral